CUGCGUUCACCCUGAACUAGGGCGCAUCUACAACGAGUCAGGGAACGGGGGCUCGUC
Molecule: non-coding RNA, 57 nt
Organism: Synechococcus sp. CC9605
Lineage: Bacteria; Bacillati; Cyanobacteriota; Cyanophyceae; Synechococcales; Synechococcaceae
Source: Rfam